This is a long non-coding RNA of Salvelinus fontinalis (brook trout), 1632 nucleotides long. RefSeq lists it as uncharacterized. Lineage: Eukaryota; Metazoa; Chordata; Actinopteri; Salmoniformes; Salmonidae. The record is from RefSeq and is a predicted model, not a curated record. The transcript is spliced from 2 exons.
UUGCCGCGUGCCACUUAGGCCGCCGGUUGUGACUCGCUUGUGCCAGCAUGUUCGAUUGUGCGUCAAGAAUUCCGCAUAGCAAGUUUGUAUGAAGGUCUGGUUAUUAAAUGGGUAAAUAGUUCAAUAGUAAUAUGCUCUAAAACGCUCUGGUGACAAACAAACUUUGCUGCCCUGUUUCCAAUUGUCCAUAUGGCUGGGAGAACCUAUUCAAGUAAGUAAAUACAUUAUUAUUAUUAUUUUUUUUUUUUAAAUGUAUUAUUAGCUAACUAGCUACAGUGCAGGCUAACUCAAAUGAGCAGCUAAAUGAACUAGCUAGUCAACUUUACAUACUGUAUAGCUAGCUAAGGGAAUUAAAUAGCACCAGCAACCUAACUUCAUUUCAGCUAACUAUCUUGAUGUGUUUAUAGGUAGCUAGCUAACAGCCAUGGAGGAACGUGAAAGGAUAAUGUUAGCAGCUCCAACUUUCAAAGUGAGAGAGUAGGCUAUUCUAAAUAGGGCAGGUACUUUUGUGUAGUUCCAGUCCCUAGAAGUGAGGAAGAUAAUAGUAGCAUAAUAUUCAGUGCAGUGUAAUUUGAGUAUAAUGAAGUCUGUUUGUUGUGAGGUUUUCUGUCCUCAGAUAAAGAGACCUAUGAAAGCCAGUCUACAUAUGAAGAGGUCCCAAUGAAGAGCAGUGGUUCUCUGUCCUGGUCCUGGGGACUCAAAGGGGUGCACAUUUCUGUUUUUGCCUUAGCACUGCACUGCUGAUUCAAAUGAUCAACUCAUCAUCAAGCUUCAAGUGAUACCUUGUAACUGGAGAUUCCUUCAAAACGAUUGCCUACAGUUACCGUGUAGGGCACUGCAAGGUUGGGUGACCAGGGCCAUCUGGGACUGCCUCUUGGAGAAAUUCCGGCAUGUGAAGGCUACCUGUGUCCUGCAUAACUUCAUGAGGAUGGACACGGGGGCCAGGAGGGGAUAUGCAGCCGACGUGUGCCAGAGGAGAAGUCUGGUGCUCUGCAAGAUGUUUCAAAGUUGGGGUCCAGCAACGCAGCAUGAGAGGCAAUCCGUGUGCUGGGGAUCUUCACCUCCUACUUCUUCAAAGAGAGUGCUGUUCCCAGGCAACACCAUAGACUACACUAUGCACAACCAAAGGCUAUUUUAAGAGCCAUCCGCAUUGCAAUAAGAGUAUUCUACCAUUUACUUAGCUAUGUCAACUGCAGUUAUUCAAUUCCCCGUUUCUCUCCCUUUGAUUUCUACUUCUCAAGUGAGGGUGCUGUUUAGAUAAGGGUGUGAUGUCUGUACAAAAACAAAACAGGCGAUUUUAAGUCACCCAUAUUGAAAAAAUGUAGAACAACUAGACACCCUAUAACCCACACCUACACACCCAUGUAUCAAUCUGAUUGAUGGAUUGUGUUGUGCAGUAAGCAGGCUCAGGUGUAUAACUAUGACUCCUUCCACCUUCAAAGAACAGGCAAGAGGGCCAACCAUGGAGAAUAGUAAGACACUUCAUUAUUUCUAUAACUACGCUAUAUUGUUUGUCCUUGUGUGUCCGUUCAUGUUUUUCAGCUACUUAGUGUGGACACCAGGUGAGGCCACACACACAAAUUCCUGUUGAACACUCAUUAAAACCUCUACAGGAUCGGUGUCCCUCCCCCA